RNAcentral lists this ribosomal RNA (252 nucleotides) under uncultured Bacteroidales bacterium. RNAcentral's name for it is "partial 16S ribosomal RNA". It matches the Rfam family "Bacterial small subunit ribosomal RNA", at positions 524 to 776 of the family's 1533-position model. Lineage: Bacteria; Pseudomonadati; Bacteroidota; Bacteroidia; Bacteroidales. The record is from RNAcentral.
UACGGAGGAUCCGAGCGUUAUCCGGAUUUAUUGGGUUUAAAGGGUGCGUAGGCGGAUUUGUAAGUCAGCGGUAAAAAUGCGGUGCUCAACGCCGUACAGCCGUUGAAACUGGCAGUCUUGAGUGGGCGAGAAGUAUGCGGAAUGCGUGGUGUAGCGGUGAAAUGCAUAGAUAUCACGAAGAACUCCGAUUGCGAAGGCAGCUCACUAGACUGCAACUGACACUGAUGCUCGAAAGUGUGGGUAUCAAACAGG